RNAcentral lists this ribosomal RNA (253 nucleotides) under uncultured bacterium. RNAcentral describes it as "partial 16S ribosomal RNA". It matches the Rfam family "Bacterial small subunit ribosomal RNA", at positions 524 to 776 of the family's 1533-position model. The record is from RNAcentral.
UACGUAGGGUGCAAGCGUUAAUCGGAAUUACUGGGCGUAAAGGGUGUGUAGGCGGUUUUUUAAGUCUGAUGUGAAAUCCCCGGGCUCAACCUGGGAACUGCGUUGGAUACUGGAGAACUAGAGUACGUAAGAGGGGGGUGGAAUUCCAGGUGUAGCGGUGAAAUGCGUAGAUAUCUGGAGGAACACCGGUGGCGAAGGCGGCAUUCUGGACCGACAUUGACGCUGAGGAGCGAAAGCCAGGGGAGCAAACGGG